GCCCCGGUAGCCCAACUGGCAGAGGCAGGCGACUUAAAAUCGUCACAGUCAGGGUUCAAAUCCCUGCCGGGGCACCA
This 77-nucleotide transfer RNA is filed under the name Antiquaquibacter oligotrophicus. RNAcentral's name for it is "Microbacteriaceae bacterium SG_E_30_P1 tRNA-Leu". It matches the Rfam family "tRNA". Rfam says of the family: Transfer RNA (tRNA) molecules are approximately 80 nucleotides in length. Their secondary structure includes four short double-helical elements and three loops (D, anti-codon, and T loops). The record is from RNAcentral. Lineage: Bacteria; Bacillati; Actinomycetota; Actinomycetes; Micrococcales; Microbacteriaceae.